This 468-nucleotide ribosomal RNA is filed under the name uncultured bacterium. RNAcentral describes it as "partial 16S ribosomal RNA". It matches the Rfam family "Bacterial small subunit ribosomal RNA", at positions 28 to 507 of the family's 1533-position model. The record is from RNAcentral.
GACGAACGCUGGCGGCGUGCUUAACACAUGCAAGUCGAACGGAAAGGCCCUGCUUUUGUGGGGUGCUCGAGUGGCGAACGGGUGAGUAACACGUGAGUAACCUGCCCUUGACUUUGGGAUAACUUCAGGAAACUGGGGCUAAUACCGGAUAGGAGCUCCUGCUGCAUGGUGGGGGUUGGAAAGUUUCGGCGGUUGGGGAUGGACUCGCGGCUUAUCAGCUUGUUGGUGGGGUAGUGGCUUACCAAGGCUUUGACGGGUAGCCGGCCUGGGAGGGUGACCGGCCACAUUGGGCCUGAGAUACGGCCCAGACUCCUACGGGAGGCAGCAGUGGGGAAUAUUGCCCAAUGGGCGGAAGCCUGAUGCAGCAACGCCGCGUGCGGGAUGACGGCCUUCGGGUUGUAAACCGCUUUCGCCUGUGACGAAGCGUGAGUGACGGUAAUGGGUAAAGAAGCACCGGCUAACUACGUG